Molecule: ribosomal RNA, 425 nt
Filed under: uncultured bacterium
Lineage: Bacteria
Description: bacterial SSU rRNA
Rfam family: Bacterial small subunit ribosomal RNA
Source: RNAcentral
GAAUAUUGCACAAUGGGCGCAAGCCUGAUGCAGCCAUGCCGCGUGUAUGAAGAAGGCCUUCGGGUUGUAAAGUACUUUCAGCGGGGAGGAAGGCGAUGUGGUUAAUAACCGCGUCGAUUGACGUUACCCGCAGAAGAAGCACCGGCUAACUCCGUGCCAGCAGCCGCGGUAAUACGGAGGGUGCAAGCGUUAAUCGGAAUUACUGGGCGUAAAGCGCACGCAGGCGGUCUGUUAAGUCAGAUGUGAAAUCCCCGGGCUUAACCUGGGAACUGCAUUUGAAACUGGCAGGCUUGAGUCUUGUAGAGGGGGGUAGAAUUCCAGGUGUAGCGGUGAAAUGCGUAGAGAUCUGGAGGAAUACCGGUGGCGAAGGCGGCCCCCUGGACAAAGACUGACGCUCAGGUGCGAAAGCGUGGGGAGCAAACAGG